UGCCAGCCGCCGCGGUAAUACGGAGGGUCCAAGCGUUGUUCGGAAUCACUGGGCGUAAAGCGCGUGUAGGCGGUUUCGUCAGUCGGAUGUGAAAUCCCAGGGCUCAACCCUGGACGUGCAUCCGAUACUACGAAACUAGAAUCCCGGAGGGGGUGGCGGAAUUCCUGGUGUAGAGGUGAAAUUCGUAGAUAUCAGGAGGAACACCUGUGGCGAAGGCGGUCUCUUGGUCCUAUACUGACGCUGAGGCUCGAAAGCGUGGGGAGCAAACAGGAUUAGAUA
RNAcentral lists this ribosomal RNA (279 nucleotides) under uncultured bacterium. RNAcentral describes it as "partial 16S ribosomal RNA". It matches the Rfam family "Bacterial small subunit ribosomal RNA", at positions 506 to 784 of the family's 1533-position model. The record is from RNAcentral.